Gallus gallus (chicken) is the source of this 1157-nucleotide long non-coding RNA. RefSeq lists it as uncharacterized. The record is from RefSeq and is a predicted model, not a curated record. Lineage: Eukaryota; Metazoa; Chordata; Aves; Galliformes; Phasianidae. The transcript is spliced from 4 exons.
GGCUCAUGCAGAUAAAUAGUUUCUUAAGUCAUCUUUAGGUCAAAUGCAAACAUACUAGUCAAGCUUAAUAGUUAACCAUUGAUGAACUUUGCUUGAGAGAGGGUUCAACUAGGUUCUUCAAAGCUAUAUUAUACACUUAUCUUGCUUUUCUGUCCAGAAAAGUUGGAUAAGGACUGUGCUGGUGGUUAAUGAUAAGAGAUCGUAUCCUGGCAAAGGGAUUUAUGUUAAAGCUGAUGUCUGCAAAAAGAAGCAAGCAAUACAACUUGGACUCUAAGUCAGCGUUUACAGGCCGAGCUGAAGAUAAACUACGGGCUUAUUUUAUAAAUAUUAACAAAAGAUAAAAUGUCACCAACACACACUGCCCUUUGGAAAAUUAGCAUUGAUCACCUCGUUCCAGGGAACGUGUCUGCUUUGGCAAUUGAAAACAGCUGUCUCCUGUAAAAAUCAUUCUUCAUGUAGUCCAAAAAAAAAACCAAAAUAAAAAAUCUUAAUUUGAUUUGAAGAAUGGUAUUCACCAUAAAGGCAAUACUGACAGUAAAUCACAAUCAGUAAAGGAUAUGAGAAUUCUGAGAAUGUCUUUAAAUGACCGGAAGCUGUUCUCUGUGAGGCUCUUCCGCUUACGUUCAUAGUGGCAUUUGAAAGAGAUCAUCCCUCAAGAUCAGUGCUGUAGAUUUAUGUGCCCAGGACUUAACAUCCCAGCUAUUUGGGCUUAGUCUGAGCUACGACUUAAAAGCAGCAGCACACAAGAACAGUGCAGGUCUUCUAAAGCAACCAUAAAGAACAAACUCAAACAAAGGACUGAUGGAGAAGAACUGUGCAGCUGUAACCUGGGUGAACACGUCUGCAAAAUGGAGGCAGGAUGCCAAUUUCUACAUUUUUCUGGAGAUUCUUAUUUACUCACCAAAGUCUCCUUUUGCAUGUAUCCAUUAAAACAGGAGCUGAUUAUUGAAUAUUUGAGUUUCCAGAAAUGACCUUUCUCUGAUCACUCUGAAGAAUGUGCGUUAUCAUCUUCCUUCAUUCCUUAGUGAAUAACAAAAAUCUGCAAGAAUUUAAAAGAAUAGCAUCAUUCUUAUAUUUGACUCUCACAAAGAAUUUGGUUUGUACUGCAGUGUUUAUACAUUUUGGAAUGUAAAAUGAAUAAAAGGACAAAAAUUUAA